RNAcentral lists this non-coding RNA (27 nucleotides) under Mus musculus (house mouse). The record is from RNAcentral. Lineage: Eukaryota; Metazoa; Chordata; Mammalia; Rodentia; Muridae.
UGCUUGGAUAUGCCUGGACAUGUGUGU